UGAGUAAUACAUCGGAACGUGCCCUGUAGUGGGGGAUAACUAGUCGAAAGAUUAGCUAAUACCGCAUACGACCUGAGGGUGAAAGUGGGGGACCGCAAGGCCUCAUGCUAUAGGAGCGGCCGAUGUCUGAUUAGCUAGUUGGUGGGGUAAAGGCCCACCAAGGCGACGAUCAGUAGCUGGUCUGAGAGGACGAUCAGCCACACUGGGACUGAGACACGGCCCAGACUCCUACGGGAGGCAGCAGUGGGGAAUUUUGGACAAUGGGGGCAACCCUGAUCCAGCAAUGCCGCGUGUGUGAAGAAGGCCUUCGGGUUGUAAAGCACUUUUGUCCGGAAAGAAAUCGCACUUACUAAUAUUAGGUGUGGAUGACGGUACCGGAAGAAUAAGGACCGGCUAACUACGUGCCAGCAGCCGCGGUAAUACGUAGGGUCCAAGCGUUAAUCGGAAUUACUGGGCGUAAAGCGUGCGCAGGCGGUUGUGCAAGACCGAUGUGAAAUCCCCGGGCUUAACCUGGGAAUUGCAUUGGUGACUGCACGGCUAGAGUGUGUCAGAGGGGGGUAGAAUUCCACGUGUAGCAGUGAAAUGCGUAGAGAUGUGGAGGAAUACCGAUGGCGAAG
This 617-nucleotide ribosomal RNA is filed under the name Ralstonia insidiosa. RNAcentral's name for it is "bacterial SSU rRNA". It matches the Rfam family "Bacterial small subunit ribosomal RNA", at positions 107 to 720 of the family's 1533-position model. Lineage: Bacteria; Pseudomonadati; Pseudomonadota; Betaproteobacteria; Burkholderiales; Burkholderiaceae. The record is from RNAcentral.